RNAcentral lists this ribosomal RNA (335 nucleotides) under Caucasotachea vindobonensis. RNAcentral describes it as "partial 16S large subunit ribosomal RNA". It matches the Rfam family "Bacterial large subunit ribosomal RNA", at positions 1952 to 2601 of the family's 2925-position model. The record is from RNAcentral. Lineage: Eukaryota; Metazoa; Mollusca; Gastropoda; Stylommatophora; Helicidae.
AAAGGUAGCAUAAUCAUUUGGCCUCUAAUUAAGGUCUGGCAUGAAUGGGAUUAUGGGGAGUGACUGUCUGGGUGUAUUUAUUUGAAUUUAAUAAACAAGUGCAAAUGCUUGUGUAUCUAAAAUAGACGAGAAGACCCUAGAAGCUUGAACAUUUUUUGUUGGGGCGACAGAAUUGCAUUUAACCAAUUUUAAGUGAUAUGACUAUUAAAGAUAAAUAAAGCUACUCUAGGGAUAACAGCAUAAUAUUUCAAAGUUUGUGACCUCGAUGUUGGACUAGGUAAAAUAUUCUUUAGAAGGGGAUAUUUGAAGCUCUGUUCGAGCAUAUGCACCUACAU